Non-coding RNA from Pelobates cultripes (western spadefoot toad), 325 nucleotides. Lineage: Eukaryota; Metazoa; Chordata; Amphibia; Anura; Pelobatidae. The record is from the annotation of a GenBank genome assembly.
CUUUAAUAGGUGUGAAAACAAAAAUUACAGUGCGGUGAAGCACAUUUUUUUUUUUUAAUAUGGAGCCAAAUGUAUGUCUGGCUGGCUGAUUCAUUAAUCAUAUUGCUCACUUUAUUUGCAUUAGAGUCAAGGGCUCAAGGCCACCAGCCAGUUUUACAAUGUGCCAUAUUCAGUAUUCAGUCUGACAACUCUCACUUAAUGACCCAAAAAUGUUGUUCUUGGACACAGACUGAGGAGUUAGUCGACAGCAGCUUGAUUGUUAUUGAAUACCGAGACGAGCAGUUCAAAUGCUUGCAAUGAGUGACUUUGCAACCGAGUCUGCAGC